AUCCUACGGGAGGCAGCAGUGGGGGAUAUUGCACAAUGGGGGGAACCCUGAUGCAGCGACGCCGCGUGGGUGAAGAAGCGCCUCGGCGCGUAAAGCCCUGUCCGCAGGGAAGAAAAUGACGGUACCUGAAGAAGAAGCCCCGGCUAACUACGUGCCAGCAGCCGCGGCAAUACGUAGGGGGCAAGCGUUAUCCGGAUUUACUGGGUGUAAAGGGGGCGCAGACGGCGAUGCAAGCCAGAUGUGAAAGCCCGGGGCGCAACCCCGGCACUGCAUUUGGAACUG
Molecule: ribosomal RNA, 282 nt
Filed under: uncultured bacterium
Lineage: Bacteria
Description: partial 16S ribosomal RNA
Rfam family: Bacterial small subunit ribosomal RNA
Source: RNAcentral